RNAcentral lists this ribosomal RNA (252 nucleotides) under uncultured bacterium. Its description in RNAcentral is "partial 16S ribosomal RNA". It matches the Rfam family "Bacterial small subunit ribosomal RNA", at positions 524 to 776 of the family's 1533-position model. The record is from RNAcentral.
UACGGAGGAUGCGAGCGUUAUCCGGAUUUAUUGGGUUUAAAGGGUGCGUAGGCGGACUGUCAAGUCAGCGGUAAAAAUGCGGUGCUCAACGCCGUCGAGCCGUUGAAACUGGCGUUCUUGAGUGGGCGAGAAGUAUGCGGAAUGCGUGGUGUAGCGGUGAAAUGCAUAGAUAUCACGCAGAACUCCGAUUGCGAAGGCAGCAUACCGGCGCCCUACUGACGCUGAGGCACGAAAGCGUGGGUACCGAACAGG